GGAUAACCUGCCGUAUACAGGGGGAUAACACUUAGAAAUAGGUGCUAAUACCGCAUAAGCGCACGGUUCCGCAUGGAACAGUGUGAAAAACUCCGGUGGUAUACGAUGGAUCCGCGUUUGAUUAGCCAGUUGGCGGGGUAACGGCCCACCAAAGCGACGAUCAGUAGCCGGCCUGAGAGGGUGAACGGCCACAUUGGGACUGAGACACGGCCCAAACUCCUACGGGAGGCAGCAGUGGGGAAUAUUGCACAAUGGGGGAAACCCUGAUGCAGCGACGCCGCGUGAGUGAAGAAGUAUUUCGGUACGUAAAGCUCUAUCAGCAGGGAAGAAAAAAAGUCCUUUGGACUUUGGACGGUACCUGACCAAGAAGCCCCGGCUAACUACGUGCCAGCAGCCGCGGUAAUACGUAGGGGGCAAGCGUUAUCCGGAUUUACUGGGUGUAAAGGGAGCGUAGACGGCAGCGCAAGUCUGGAGUGAAAUGCCGGGGCCCAACCCCGGAACUGCUUUGGAAACUGUGCAGCUGGAGUGCAGGAGAGGUAAGCGGAAUUCCUAGUGUAGCGGUGAAAUGCGUAGAUAUUAGGAGGAACACCAGUGGCGAAGGCGGCUUACUGGACUGUAACUGACGUUGAGGCUCGAAAGCGUGGGGAGCAAACAGGAUUAGAUACCCUGGUAGUCCACGCCGUAAACGAUGAUUACUAGGUGUCGGGGGGCCAAGGCCCUUCGGUGCCGCCGCAAACG
RNAcentral lists this ribosomal RNA (738 nucleotides) under uncultured bacterium. RNAcentral's name for it is "bacterial SSU rRNA". It matches the Rfam family "Bacterial small subunit ribosomal RNA", at positions 119 to 857 of the family's 1533-position model. The record is from RNAcentral.